AAUGUAAACUAUCUUAUGUUUUCCAACACCCCCCUUCGAGAUUUCAUAUGGAAUAACCCAAUUCGACAUCCGGGGCCUUGCCCUCAGCACGCUCUCUUUCCCGUUCCACCAUCUUGGCAAGCCAUCUGCAGUCAAGAUGAGGGCCAAGUGGAAGAAGAAGCGUAUGCGAAGGCUGAAGAGAAAAAGGAGAAAGAUGAGGGCCAGGUCCAAGUAGGCACCACCUGCCACCAUCCCGGCUUCACAGAUGGACCUGUCCGAUGCAGACUGGAUCAACACUGAACAUCUGAGGAGACCUCCAGUAUCCAGCCUUCCUGUGGUUGCAGUGACACUACUUCACCAAGCAGACGUUCGGAUGGACUUGGGAUUGCUACAAUGCAACACGGGUUCCUGUCUGAAUCUUGGGAGCAGAAAAGAACUGACUCUCUCUAGAUUGAAAACACGAACUGUGUUCUCCCGUUGAAGAGCUGAACAUGUUACGAUUGUGUCUCUUGUUAGUCGUUCUGCUUUGGACAGAUGUACACCUGUGAAUGCCUGACCUCGCUUACAGCUACUUGUAAACCCUUUUCAGCAAAACCUACUUCUUCUUUCAAAGUGAUCUUGAAUAAAGACUUCUGUUUUGCUGAA
Branchiostoma floridae (Florida lancelet) is the source of this 624-nucleotide long non-coding RNA. RefSeq lists it as uncharacterized. The record is from RefSeq and is a predicted model, not a curated record. The transcript has 4 exons. Lineage: Eukaryota; Metazoa; Chordata; Leptocardii; Amphioxiformes; Branchiostomatidae.